Molecule: ribosomal RNA, 468 nt
Filed under: uncultured bacterium
Lineage: Bacteria
Description: partial 16S ribosomal RNA
Rfam family: Bacterial small subunit ribosomal RNA
Source: RNAcentral
GACGAACGCUGGCGGCGUGCUUAACACAUGCAAGUCGAACGGAAAGGCCCUGCUUUUGUGGGGUGCUCGAGUGGCGAACGGGUGAGUAACACGUGAGUAACCUGCCCCUGACUUUGGGAUAACUUCAGGAAACUGGGGCUAAUACCGGAUAGGAGCUCCUGCUGCAUGGUGGGGGUUGGUAAGAUUCGGCGGUUGGGGAUGGACUCGCGGCUUAUCAGCUUGUUGGUGGGGUAGUGGCUUACCAAGGCUUUGACGGGUAGCCGGCCUGAGAGGGUGACCGGCGACACUGGGACUGAGAUACGGCCCAGACUCCUACGGGAGGCAACAGUGGGGAAUAUUGCACAAUGGGCGGAAGCCUGAUGCAGCAACGCCGCGUGCGGGAUGACGGCCUUCGGGUUGUGAACCGAUUUCGCCUGUGACGAAGCGUGAGUGACGGUAAUGGGUAAAGAAGCACCGGCUAACUACGUG